GACGAACGCUGGCGGCGUGCCUAACACAUGCAAGUCGAACGGAAAUGCCCUGCUUUUGUGGGGUGCUCGAGUGGCGAACGGGUGAGUAACUCGUGAGUAACCUGCCCUUGACUUUGGGAUAACUUCAUGAAACUGGGUCUAAUACCGGAUAGGAGCUCCUGCUUCAUGGUGGGGGUUGGAACGUCUCGGCGGUUGGGUAUGGACUCGCGGCUUGUCAGCUUGUUGGUGGGGUAGUGGCUUACCAAGGCUUUGACGGGUAGCCGGCCUGAGAGGGUGACCGGCCACAUUGGGACUGAGAUGCGGCCCAGACUCCUACGGGAGGCAGCAGUGGGGAAUAGUGCACAAUGGGAGGAAGCCUGAUGCAGCAACGCCGCGUGCGGGAUGACGGCCUUCGGGUUGUAAACCGCUUUCGCCUGUGACGAAGCGUGAGUGACGGUAAUGGGUAAAGAAGCACCGGCUAACUACGUG
This 468-nucleotide ribosomal RNA is filed under the name uncultured bacterium. Its description in RNAcentral is "partial 16S ribosomal RNA". It matches the Rfam family "Bacterial small subunit ribosomal RNA", at positions 28 to 507 of the family's 1533-position model. The record is from RNAcentral.